Molecule: ribosomal RNA, 1137 nt
Filed under: Fusarium oxysporum
Lineage: Eukaryota; Fungi; Ascomycota; Sordariomycetes; Hypocreales; Nectriaceae
Description: SSU rRNA
Rfam family: Eukaryotic small subunit ribosomal RNA
Source: RNAcentral
UCCUCUCCUCCCCAAUGGUGUUUUUUUUUUUAACUUUUUUGUGAUCAUUUUGCUGUUAAAGAUUAAGCCAUGCAUGUCUAAGUAUAAGCAAUUAUACCGCGAAACUGCGAAUGGCUCAUUAUAUAAGUUAUCGUUUAUUUGAUAGUACCUUACUACUUGGAUAACCGUGGUAAUUCUAGAGCUAAUACAUGCUAAAAAUCCCGACUUCGGAAGGGAUGUAUUUAUUAGAUUAAAAACCAAUGCCCUUCGGGGCUCACUGGUGAUUCAUGAUAACUCCUCGAAUCGCAUGGCCUUGCGCCGGCGAUGGUUCAUUCAAAUUUCUUCCCUAUCAACUUUCGAUGUUUGGGUAUUGGCCAAACAUGGUUGCAACGGGUAACGGAGGGUUAGGGCUCGACCCCGGAGAAGGAGCCUGAGAAACGGCUACUACAUCCAAGGAAGGCAGCAGGCGCGCAAAUUACCCAAUCCCGACACGGGGAGGUAGUGACAAUAAAUACUGAUACAGGGCUCUUUUGGGUCUUGUAAUUGGAAUGAGUACAAUUUAAAUCCCUUAACGAGGAACAAUUGGAGGGCAAGUCUGGUGCCAGCAGCCGCGGUAAUUCCAGCUCCAAUAGCGUAUAUUAAAGUUGUUGUGGUUAAAAAGCUCGUAGUUGAACCUUGGGCCUGGCCGUCCGGUCCGCCUCACCGCGUGUACUGGCUCGGCCGGGCCUUUCCCUCUGUGGAACCCCAUGCCCUUCACUGGGCGUGGCGGGGAAACAGGACUUUUACUGUGAAAAAAUUAGAGUGCUCCAGGCAGGCCUAUGCUCGAAUACAUUAGCAUGGAAUAAUAGAAUAGGACGUGUGGUUCUAUUUUGUUGGUUUCUAGGACCGCCGUAAUGAUUAAUAGGGACAGUCGGGGGCAUCAGUAUUCAAUUGUCAGAGGUGAAAUUCUUGGAUUUAUUGAAGACUAACUACUGCGAAAGCAUUUGCCAAGGAUGUUUUCAUUAAUCAGGAACGAAAGUUAGGGGAUCGAAGACGAUCAGAUACCGUCGUAGUCUUAACCAUAAACUAUGCCGACUAGGGAUCGGACGGUGUUAUUUUUUGACCCGUUCGGCACCUUACGAGAAAUCAAAGUGCUUGGCUCCAGGGGAGUUUCCCACC